Molecule: long non-coding RNA, 769 nt
Organism: Xiphias gladius (swordfish)
Lineage: Eukaryota; Metazoa; Chordata; Actinopteri; Istiophoriformes; Xiphiidae
Exons: 5
Source: RefSeq, a predicted model, not a curated record
GAUCAUGCUAGUGCACAGGAGGGGGAAGGGAAAAAAGGGAGCGAGAGACACACGGUAAUUCCGGCGCAUGCUAACAUGCUACAUAACAGAGAAGGAGAGAUGGCCGAUUACAAUCCUAAGAGAACAAGGUCUUAGGAACAAAAGUUGAAGAAGAAGGGCUAUGAUCAGGCGAGGGGGAAGACUUUAAUGGUGAGGCUUUCCAAUGGUGGAGACUGAAUGGUCAGACUGCGAAAGUAAUUCAGCCCUGGACUUAUCCGCUGGGACUGGCCUGAACCUCGAAUGAGAGGCACACAGAGAUGGCCAGUAAAGAGACUGAUGGACGAUUGUCCACUUCCACGCUGGAUAAGACUCUCCGGUCUAUGAAUUUAGGGCGGCGCUUCUGAAAGAGCAUAGAGUGAAGGGGUGUAUGUUUUGCUGUGAACCUCCACCCGAGCACGGCAGCGAGGUCGGAGGUCAAUCUCGGCAAGUGGUUCCAGCUUCCCAUACUUGGUUACCAGGGAAUGAUAUCUGAGGAGGUAAAGAGCAGGUAUCUCCCGAGUGAGCAGCAGCACAGUAUCCCAGGACACUUGAGUGUUGUUGAGGACGAGGCGUCGGACCCGGGAGAAGGCUUCGGCACACCGCGGUUCGAGGGUCAUUCCUGCCAGGGGGUUGGAGCUUAGGUUCAGGAAAUCCAGCUCACCUUUCAUAGGGGAACCUUGAGGACCUGCGGUGGGCACAACCACCACCCCCAUACCAGGUCCUCUGCGGUAUGGGAAGUUCUCUGGGCUGU